AGAAAAUGCUCCAAAGGACCUCCACCACCAAUGGGAUACCUUGGGAGAAGGAACCCAAACCUGGCAGGGCUGUCCAGAGACCCGUGGCCAAGUCCGCGGGGCUGAGUGGGCCAUGGGGUCUACUCUGUACAGAGGCUGCGGCAGUGCCCCAUCAGCACACAGAGCCAGCCCUCAUGUCCACGAAGAUUCAGGACAAGACAAGCAGGAGCUGGAGAAAGCUUCUCUAGAAUGCACUCACAGCCAGGACAGUCUUUCCCACAUCCACCCUGCAGGUCUGACACAGAUCAGGCCAUAGGGAAGCAGUUCCUCACCGGUGAAGGCCCCUGAUGGCCACCACCAAGUUGAGGGCAGCCCUGCAAACUGCAGCAGAGCUGGCACUGGGACCCGCCACGGGUCGGGCCUUGAGCUGCGGCUUUGCAGCUGUGAGGCAAGUUAGAAAACCUCUUCCCAGGGGAGUGAUUUUCAGAAGAAUCCAGUAGACAGCUUGAGUCGGCCUCCAAAACCAUCCAGCACAGCAAAAAUCCUGUGCUAAGCCGCCUGCAUGCAGAUGUGACACCCGCUGCCAGCUGCGCCCCGUGGCUCUCCCUGCCCGCUGCCCCCAGGAGGAGUGCAGGCAGCCCAUGGGCUACAGAACACAUCUGCAAACAGAGGCUGCCGGGCCAAGCCAGAGCGGUGUCCUGUGAAAACCACCCCAUCUCCUGGGAUGCUGCAGCUGUGAACAAACCUCUGGACAGGACUGAGAAGGACCUGAUGACAGCAAAGGACUUGGACAGGGAAGAGGGAAUCCGAGACGUUGUAUUAUUUGGACUCAUCAGCAAGGCUUCCAUGCGGUUAACACCCGCCCUGCUCCAGAGUCGGGACCCAGUGUGCCAGACAGAUCCAUCCCUGACCUAAAAAGUGGGGCUGGGAGAACAGAGUGUGGCUCUACCAUUGGCCCUGCUGUAUGGCAAGGGCUUUCCUGAGCCCGCGGGGAGGAGGCAUGGUGGUGCGCCCAUGGUCACCACACACAGCUCACCUGGAUGUGGACAGAGGAGGCAUCCCCAGAGCAGCCAAGGCAGGAGGAGAGCCUGGAGGAAGGCAGGGGAGCUGCGCCCCAUCCCUGCCCAGCCUCCAGGUGAGGCUGUGGGAAGGGUUUGUCACCUUCCCUCGGUGACAGGGACACGGAGAGGGUGGUGCUGCGUCCUCCCGGCGGGCCUGGAGACAUCCAUUAUUUAUGGAGCACUUGGGGAUGCUCAGAAGCGAGGCGCCACACAAGCAUGAAAUGUCAUUACAAAGGAUAUGAUUUAG
Molecule: long non-coding RNA, 1287 nt
Organism: Gallus gallus (chicken)
Lineage: Eukaryota; Metazoa; Chordata; Aves; Galliformes; Phasianidae
Source: Ensembl